AACGAACGCUGGCGGCAGGCUUAACACAUGCAAGUCGAACGAGAAUCCCUUCGGGGAGGAAAGUGGCGCACGGGUGCGUAACACGUGGAUAACCAACCCAUUGGUUUGGGACAACACCGGGAAACUGGUGCUAAUACCAGAUGUGUCGCAGCUGUCUUCAGGCGGUUGCGAGAAAGGCCCGCAAGGGUCGCCAACGGACGGGUCCGCGUCCCAUCAGCUAGUUGGUGAGGUAAUGGCUCACCAAGGCAAAGACGGGUAGCUGGUCUGAGAGGAUGAUCAGCCACACUGGAACUGAGACACGGUCCAGACUCCUACGGGAGGCAGCAGUGGGGAAUAUUGCGCAAUGGGCGAAAGCCUGACGCAGCCACGCCGCGUGAGCGAUGAAGGUCUUCGGAUCGUAAAGCUCUGUGGGGGGAGAAGAAGAAAGCCGGUGAAGAGCCGGCCCUGACGGUAUCCCCUUAGCAAGCACCGGCUAACUCCGUGCCAGCAGCCGCGGUAAAG
RNAcentral lists this ribosomal RNA (501 nucleotides) under uncultured bacterium. Its description in RNAcentral is "bacterial SSU rRNA". It matches the Rfam family "Bacterial small subunit ribosomal RNA", at positions 29 to 525 of the family's 1533-position model. The record is from RNAcentral.